CAGGUAAAAGGCAUUUAAAAAUCAGAAAAUUACAUUGUGAUCCUUUAAUACAUAAAUUACUACAUUAAUAGCUAAUCUAUUACACCAUAAUUUUAUUUUUUGAAAAGAAGAUAUCAACUAAUUCUAUUACAAUUUCUAGAAAAUUAACAGCCAAGUGAACUCUUGCCCCUUUUGGAUAUAAUUGAUCCAACCAAAGCUUAGACCACCACAUGGAGACAUUAAUUUCAACAUGAUAACAAUAACCAAAUUCCACUUCUUGGCUUUAAAACUUGUUGAUUUCGCCAACUAGUGACCAAAUCCACAAGUUAUAGCCCGUGGAGCAACAUGACCACAAGUAAAACACUAUGUUACUCAUCACAAGUAGAAGCAAAAAAAAGAAACAACUUCAAUAGCUAAUAUUCAGAAUCAGUAACACAUUGUGAAAAUUUAACUAAAAAAAAUAUCUUCAAACAAGGUCACUUUUAAGAGAAAAAGCUACAAGUAUUAAUGUAUCAACCAAGUUAUUCAUAAUAGAUUAUUUCAAACCUUAAACUCACAUAUCGAUAGAUUAACUAGAUCUAUAACAAUGUAAUUAAUAACUACAUAAAAGGACACUCAUUCAUCACAUAUAAUUUACAUUUUUUGGUCUUAUAACAUUCAAACAAGCAGUACAUGAAGAAAGCUAAAAUCAUUACCUUGAAAAACAGCAAACACCAGCAGGAAAAACAAGUGAAAUGCUGGUUGAAACUUAAAGAUGGAGCAGCAACCAGAAACCAAACAGUAGCAGUAAGAAAUCAGCCCAGAAACCAAAGGACCAGCACUUAGACUUCUCAAAAAUCAGAGUACUAGAGAAAACCGGCCUAGAAAUCUAACUAGAAAACUGAUGUUUUAGCAAGAAAGUUUCAGGAAAUUUUCUCUUUUUGUAUUAUGAAAUUUUAGGUAACUAUACGCUACUGAAAAAUCUGUCCAGAAUGAGGGAGUAACUAUUCCGUUUAUAGGGUGUACCAAAAUAACAUCAAAAAAGCAUAUUCUACCCUAAAUUCCCUAAAUGUUAGAUAGUAUAGCAUAUUUGGACAACUGUCUGUCCUUUUCAGCCCAAUUCCAAUAUUUUUUAUGCUAAAAAUGAGGACAAUUGUACAAUACUAGAACAUUAUGAUAUUUUACUCUUUAUAAAUUCCAAAUUUACCCCUUCAAAUACUGAUUAUUUCAGUUAUAUCCUAAAUUCUUAUCCUAACUUGACUCAAAGAUCCCUUUAGGACCUUCUAGAACCAAUUAGAUGAUUCUAGCAUUGAAGUUCCUAACCUUAUUUCAAUUGUACCACCUUAAAGCUUUGGGGUACUACCUUGCAAUUCUGAAAUUAGUUUUAAGCUUAAGGGUAUCUAAGGUUUAAUUCAAACAAUCUAAAUCUUAAUUAGUAAAUUAACAGGUUAACCUAAUUAACCUUAAACAAGAAAACUGAAUUUAAACUUAUAUCCAAAGCAGUAACCAGACAAAAACAGAAUGAUGAUGCAAAGAAAACCUAGAAAUUAAUCUAAUCAGUUUGCAAAUCAAAAUAAAUAUAUCAACUAAGCUACUCUUUCUAACCAAGCAGCUCGUUAAUUAACUUUUGGAAUUUGAUUAGAACUAAUCUGAUUAUCCUAAGCUAAUCAUUGCAUCUAAAACAACGAAUAACUGAGAGAAACAAUCACAAAAAUGGAAAUAACAAAAAAACAAAUAGAAUAAUCAUGCAACAUAGCAAAAGGCUAAAAACUGACCCUAACUAGCCUAAAUUUUAUGCAAUCGAAAUUAACCUUCAGCAUAUUUCAAUUAACACAAACAAAUGAAACAAACAAACAAUACUAAAUAAAAAUAAAUACACUGUCAUUACCUAAAUCAUGCAGGCUAAAAGAAAGAGAAAAUGAACAUGAAAGAAGACAGAACAUAAAAUAAAAAGGAAAUGGAAAAGAAAUUACCUAAGGCUCGUUUUGGAAUGGACCAGUCAAGAAAUCGACCAAUUUUAACAGGGUAAAGAUGAACUUAGAUGAUCAUUAAUCGAUUGGUCUUAUCAAGAGCAGUCGAUUAAUGGAAGUCUUGGGUUCAAACAGCCCAAAAACUAAACGAAAAUCAGAAGGAGAAAAGUUAGGGUUUUGGGAUCCUAGAUCCAAGAUUCGAGAAAUUCUAGGCUUGUUUGAAAGGAGUUGUGGUGAUAUAUGGAAAGAGGAAGAGGAGGUGAUUAUAGGGUGUUAAUUUGGUGGGGUUUGGAGGUGGUCCGCCGCCGUGAGGAAAUUUUCGAUCAGCGGAUCACAACGAAGACGGUGAGGAGAACUAGGGCGGCUAGGUUUCGUUUUGAGAGAGAUGGGAGAGAAGAAGUGAGACCGG
This 2337-nucleotide long non-coding RNA is filed under the name Nicotiana tabacum (common tobacco). RNAcentral describes it as "long non-coding RNA (NTAB_LNC006020)". Lineage: Eukaryota; Viridiplantae; Streptophyta; Magnoliopsida; Solanales; Solanaceae. The record is from RNAcentral.